Molecule: small RNA, 1162 nt
Filed under: Polyporales sp. 11 MU-2012
Lineage: Eukaryota; Fungi; Basidiomycota; Agaricomycetes; Polyporales
Description: eukaryotic LSU rRNA
Rfam family: Eukaryotic large subunit ribosomal RNA (bases 458-1162)
Source: RNAcentral
CCCAUGUGAACUUAUCCUUCUGUUGCCUCGGCUGGUCGUGUCUACCCUGUGGUCUCCUACCCUGUAGGAGACUACCUGGUGGUCACGGGUCUACCUGUCAGUGGCCCGUUAAACUCUGUUUAUUAUAUGCCAUUCUGAAUUAUCAACUAAAUAAGUUUAAAACUUUCAACAACGGAUCUCUUGGUUCUGGCAUCUAUGAAAAACGCAGCGAAAUGCGAUAAGUAAUGUGAAUUGCAGAAUUCAGUGAAUCAUCGAAUCUUUGAACGCACAUUGCGCCCAUUAGUAUUCUAGUGGGCAUGCCUGUUCGAGCGUCAUUUCAACCCUUAAGCCUUUGUUGCUUAUUGUUGGGAGCCUACGGCCUUCUGUAGCUCCUUAAAGUUAGUGGCAGAGUUGGUUUACACUCUAGACGUAGUAAAUUCUAUCUCGUCUGUAGUUAGGCCGGUCUCUUGCCGUAAAACCCCCCUAAAUUCGGCGAGUGAAGCGGCAACAGCUCAAAUUUGAAAUCUGGCCCUCGGGUCCGAGUUGUAAUUUGUAGAGGAUGCUUUUGGCGCGGUGCCUUCCGAGUUCCCUGGAACGGGACGCCUUAGAGGGUGAGAGCCCCGUACGGUUGGACACCAAGCCUCUGUAAAGCCCCUUCGACGAGUCGAGUAGUUUGGGAAUGCUGCUCUAAAUGGGAGGUAAAUUUCUUCUAAAGCUAAAUAUUGGCCAGAGACCGAUAGCGCACAAGUAGAGUGAUCGAAAGAUGAAAAGCACUUUGAAAAGAGGGUUAAAUAGCACGUGAAAUUGUUGAAAGGGAAGCGUUUGCGACCAGACCUUUUCUUAGCGGAUCAUCCGGUGUUAUCACCGGUGCACUUCGCCAAGUUGAGGCCAGCAUCGGUUUUCGUAGGGGGAUAAAAGCCUGGGGAAUGUGGCUCUUUCGGGAGUGUUAUAGCCUCUCGCAUAAUACCCUUAUGGGGACCGAGGACCGCGCUUUAUGCAAGGAUGCUGGCGUAAUGGUCGUCAACGACCCGUCUUGAAACACGGACCAAGGAGUCGAACAUUUGUGCGAGUGUUUGGGUGUUAAACCCUCACGCGUAAUGAAAGUGAACGGAGGUGAGAGCCCUUACGGGGGUGCAUCAUCGACCGAUCCUGAUGUCUUCGGAUGGAUUUGAGUAAGAGCAUA